Molecule: transfer RNA, 72 nt
Filed under: Sarcophilus harrisii (Tasmanian devil)
Lineage: Eukaryota; Metazoa; Chordata; Mammalia; Dasyuromorphia; Dasyuridae
Rfam family: tRNA
About the family: Transfer RNA (tRNA) molecules are approximately 80 nucleotides in length. Their secondary structure includes four short double-helical elements and three loops (D, anti-codon, and T loops).
Source: Rfam by way of RNAcentral
GACAACAUGGUUCAAUAGAAAGAAUGCUGGUUUUAGAAUCAAUGGACCUGAAUUUAAGUCUCAGUUCUGUCA